UAAUACGGAGGAGGCAAGCGUUAUCCGGAAUUAUUGGGCGUAAAGCGUCCGCAGNCGGCUUACCAAGUCUGCGGUCAAAUACCAGAGCUCAACUCUGGGUCGCCGGUGGAAACUGGCAAGCUAGAGUACAGUAGGGGUAGAGGGAAUUCCCAGUGUACCGGUGAAAUGCGUAGAGAUUGGGAAGAACACCGGUGGCGAAAGCGCUCUACUGGGCUGUAACUGACGCUGAGGGACGAAAGCUAGGGUAGCGAAAGGGAUUAGAUACCCCUGUAGUCUUAGCUGUAAACGAUGGAGACUAGGCGUGGCUUGUAUCGACCCGAGCCGUGCCGAAGCCAACGCGUUAAGUCUCCCGCCUGGGGAGUACGCACGCAAGUGUGAAACUCAAAGGAAUUGACGGGGGCCCGCACAAGCGGUGGAGUAUGUGGUUUAAUUCGAUGCAACGCGAAGAACCUUACCAAGGCUUGACAUCCCGCGAAUCCUGGUGAAAGCCGGGAGUGCCUUCGGGAGCGCGGAGACAGGUGGUGCAUGGCUGUCGUCAGCUCGUGUCGUGAGAUGUUGGGUUAAGUCCCGCAACGAGCGCAACCCUUGUCCUUAGUUGCCAGCAUUCAGUUGGGCACUCUAGGGAGACUGCCGGUGACAAACCGGAGGAAGGUGGGGAUGACGUCAAGUCAUCAUGCCCCUUACGUCUUGGGCUACACACGUACUACAAUGGUUGGGACAACGGGCAGCGAAGCGGCAACGCCGAGCGAAUCCCAGCAAACCCAGCCUCAGUUCAGAUCGCAGGCUGCAACUCGCCUGCGUGAAGGAGGAAUCGCUAGUAAUCGCAGGUCAGCAUACUGCGGUGAAUUCGUUCCCGGGCCUUGUACACACCGCCCGUCACACCAUGGAAGUUGGCCAUGCCCGAAGUCGUUACUCCAACCCUUGUGGAGGAGGACGCCGAAGGCAGGGCUGAUGACUGGGG
Molecule: ribosomal RNA, 961 nt
Filed under: uncultured organism
Description: bacterial SSU rRNA
Rfam family: Bacterial small subunit ribosomal RNA
Source: RNAcentral